CCUACGGGUGGCUGCAGUGGGGAAUUUUGGACAAUGGGGGCAACCCUGAUCCAGCCAUUCCGCGUGAGUGAAGAAGGCCUUCGGGUUGUAAAGCUCUUUCGGCCGGGAAGAAAUCGCAUCUCCUAAUACGGGGUGUGGAUGACGGUACCGGAAGAAGAAGCACCGGCUAACUACGUGCCAGCAGCCGCGGUAAUACGUAGGGUGCGUACGUUACGCGGAGCUACUGGGGGUAAAGCGUGAGCAGGGAGGUGAAAUCCCCGGGCUUAACCUGGGAACUGCGUUUGUGACUGGUGGGCUUGAGUGCGGCAGAGGGGGGUGGAAUUCCACGUGUAGCAGUGAAAUGCGUAGAGAUGUGGAGGAACACCGAUGGCGAAGGCAGCCCCCUGGGUCGACACUGACGCUCAUGCACGAAAGCGUGGGGAGCAAACAGGAUUAGAUACCCGUGUAGUC
This 450-nucleotide ribosomal RNA is filed under the name uncultured bacterium. RNAcentral describes it as "partial 16S ribosomal RNA". It matches the Rfam family "Bacterial small subunit ribosomal RNA", at positions 338 to 795 of the family's 1533-position model. The record is from RNAcentral.